UGCCAUCAAAGAACUAACUUUUACCUUCACUAACUUUAUUUCACAAAAUUUUAAAUUUCUUGACAAAAGAGCUAAUCAAAAGAUCAAAAUUCAUAUAGGAACAUAAAGAAAAAGAAAGUAGACAAGGAAUUAGGAUCAAAAGAAAUAUUGUUUUUAAUAUUUAGAAAAUUUUUAAUCCAUAUAGAACUCUAGCAUGCCCCUCCUUGGCGAAGUAGAGCUCUUCCAUUCUCCGACAUGCCCAUCUUAUGAGCAAGAUAAUC
Molecule: long non-coding RNA, 260 nt
Filed under: Elaeis guineensis (African oil palm)
Lineage: Eukaryota; Viridiplantae; Streptophyta; Magnoliopsida; Arecales; Arecaceae
Description: long non-coding RNA (EGUI_LNC058654)
Source: RNAcentral